GACGAACGCUGGCGGCGUGCUUAACACAUGCAAGUCGAACGGAAAGGCCCUGCUUUUGUGGGGUGCUCGAGUGGCGAACGGGUGGGUAACACGUGAGUAACCUGCCCUUGACUUUGGGAUAACUUCAGGAAACUGGUGCUAAUACCGGAUAGGAGCUCCUGCUGCAUGGUGGGGGUUGGAAAGUUUCGGCGGUUGGGGAUGGACUCGCGGCUUAUCAGCUUGUUGGUGGGGUAGUGGCUUACCAAGGCUUUGACGGGUAGCCGGCCUGAGAGGGUGACCGGCCACAUUGGGACUGAGAUACGGCCCAGACUCCUACGGGAGGCAGCAGUGGGGAAUAUUGCACAAUGGGCGGAAGCCUGAUGCAGCAACGCCGCGUGCGGGAUGACGGCCUUCGGGUUGUAAACCGCUUUCGCCUGUGACGAAGCGUGAGUGACGGUAAUGGGUAAAGAAGCACCGGCUAACUACGUG
RNAcentral lists this ribosomal RNA (468 nucleotides) under uncultured bacterium. Its description in RNAcentral is "partial 16S ribosomal RNA". It matches the Rfam family "Bacterial small subunit ribosomal RNA", at positions 28 to 507 of the family's 1533-position model. The record is from RNAcentral.